Molecule: long non-coding RNA, 666 nt
Filed under: Mus caroli (Ryukyu mouse)
Lineage: Eukaryota; Metazoa; Chordata; Mammalia; Rodentia; Muridae
Description: lncRNA (MGP_CAROLIEiJ_G0005840.1)
Source: RNAcentral
AAGACCCAUUUGUCUGUCUGUCUGUCUGUCUGUCUAGAAGGAUGGAUAAAUGAAUCAAGCAAACUCUAUUGCAAACAAAAUUUGACAACUAGGCCAUUUGAAAGCCUUAUUUCCUGCACUUAACUAUGGGCUCCCCACUCAACUGUUUCUCUGUUGGAACUUACUGUCACCAUCAAGACCUGGACCUCUCAACUUCCACUGAUCAUCUUCAAAUGUUGCAAGAUGCCCAGUAAACCUCUACCCUGGUACCAACAAGCAAAACAGAGAAUGAAAACACCCACUUUCCAGCAAGCAAACAGAAUGUAAAAUCUCUCCAUUCCUAAAAAUGUCAAAGCUCCAGAAAUGAGUUUCUAUUCUCCUUAGAUACCUAGGUGCCUGCCCAGGUGUAGCUCUUUCUUCACUAUGUCUGGUCCCCAGGCAACAAAAAAAUCUGCCAGUGUUUCACAGAAACCUUCCAAGGUUGCUCUGUAACCUCAACUACUCUAGAGCCAUUGAUUCUAAUAAGUCUCCUUUUUCCAUCAUAUCUGUGAAUCGAGCCUCAGCUGGACAUGUUAACUCAAUGGGCUUGGCAUUCCUAGCUGUGUUGAAUGAAAUCAGAAGUGUAGCGUUUUGGUGACUUAAGAUAACAAACAUUCCAUGCCUGUCAAACCAGGAGACCCAGGAGCU